UGAAAUAUUUUUCUAAGUCAUUAAGAUGAAAUUUAUCGGUCUGACCGAAAAGAGGUCCAGGAUAUUUACAAAACUAAAGCUAGCUCAGCGGUACCGUAAGUAACCAAAUACGGUUUACACUUAGCGUUUCCCCUCGGGAAUUAUUUUUAUGGAUUUCGAUAAAAGAGUGAGAUAAAUAUUUGGUUUAUAAAAUUCAUUUGAGUUUUGGUCACUAAGAGUGAAGUUAUUUAAUAAAAACAAUAAAGGGUGUUGCGACGUGAAAUAAGCUGUGUUGGUUUGGUGUAGUGUUUUACUACAAGAAAGGGUCUACACGUCACCAUCUCUACUUUGGAGUCGCCCAAGCGCCCAGUUGUUUUACAAG
This is a long non-coding RNA of Anthonomus grandis grandis, 361 nucleotides long. RefSeq lists it as uncharacterized. Lineage: Eukaryota; Metazoa; Arthropoda; Insecta; Coleoptera; Curculionidae. The record is from RefSeq and is a predicted model, not a curated record. The transcript is spliced from 2 exons.